RNAcentral lists this ribosomal RNA (468 nucleotides) under uncultured bacterium. RNAcentral describes it as "partial 16S ribosomal RNA". It matches the Rfam family "Bacterial small subunit ribosomal RNA", at positions 28 to 507 of the family's 1533-position model. The record is from RNAcentral.
GACGAACGCUGGCGGCGUGCUUAACACAUGCAAGUCGAACGGAAAGGCCCUGCUUUUGUGGGGUGCUCGAGUGGCGAACGGGUGAGUAACACGCGUGUAACCUCCCCUUGUCUGUGGGAUAACUUUUGGAAACUGGGGCGAAUACCGGGUAGGAGAUUUUGCUGCACGGUGGGCGAUGGAAAGAUUCGGCGGUUGUGGAUGGUUUGGCGGCUUACCAGCUAGUUGGGCGGGUAGGUACGUACGAAGGUUUCGACGGCUAGGCGGCCUGAGAGGGUGACCGGCGACAAGGGGACUGAGAUACGGCCCAGACGCGUACGGGAGGCAGUGGUGGGGAAUAUUGCAGAGCAGGCGGACGCGUGAUACAACGGCGCCGCGAUCGGGAAAACGUCCUUCGAGUUAUAAACCGAUUUCUCCGGAGCCGAACAGAGAGUGACGGUAAUGAGUAAAAAAGCACCGGCUAACUACGUG